Molecule: ribosomal RNA, 293 nt
Filed under: uncultured bacterium
Lineage: Bacteria
Description: partial 16S ribosomal RNA
Rfam family: Bacterial small subunit ribosomal RNA
Source: RNAcentral
CAUGCCUACGGGGCGCAGCAGUGAGGAAUAUUGGUCAAUGGCCGAGAGGCUGAACCAGCCAAGUCGCGUGAGGGAUGACGGCCCUACGGGUUGUAAACCUCUUUUGUCGGGGAGCAAAAGCCGGACGUGUCCGGCUGUGAGAGUACCCGAAGAAAAAGCAUCGGCUAACUCCGUGCCAGCAGCCGCGGUAAUACGGAGGAUGCGAGCGUUAUCCGGAUUUAUUGGGUUUAAAGGGUGCGCAGGCGGAUUUUUAAGUCAUCGGUCAAAUCGUGUGGCUCAACCCCAUCCAGCCG